Long non-coding RNA from Esox lucius (northern pike), 970 nucleotides. The record is from Ensembl. Lineage: Eukaryota; Metazoa; Chordata; Actinopteri; Esociformes; Esocidae.
AUUGAAUCAUCAAUAUCCGCCCGCUGGCUUCCAUUCCCCCCGACCGUUUACAGUGACUUAUCAUCUGUCUAGUUGCCGAUGUCUCUGGGUGCUUGAUCGGAUAGUGCUUGUGAACAGCCACGUAGACGCCACGGAACAAGCACUAGCAUGACAAUCCAACACCACCCCCGAAAGAUUGAGAGGGGCCUUAUUAUGCUCGCUAGCUGCCCGCAGUGAUAUGGCUAGCUCUUUUUACUACGUUGUACCGCCGCGGUGAAUAAAUCACGUUGCGUCAAGCUCCGUAAAUCGAUCCACUCUGCGCUUCCACGCAUUCUUUGUUGGAGUGCACCCGUGGAGUUUUUCCCCACAGGAUGAAAUACUGCUUUUUAUUUUUCGGGCCUGUCAAGAAACUUGAGCAGUUAUUCCCAGUCCGGCGCCGCUGAAUUAAUGGAGAAUUAAAGAGCAUCGGCUGAGUGAAGCCUCUCAGAAUCCCAACCCAGAUGAAAGCGGCAGGGGCGGACAAAGCUGUUCUAUCGAUUGACCUAACAGAGGGAUUGAUUGAGGCGCAUUUGCAUGGAGAUCUGUUCCACGGCGGCUUAGAGAUCCUGAUCGAUCGCCCGGGAUUGAAGUGUAGUCGUCUCUGGAUGCUUUUCAGAGGUUGAGUGUUGUUAAUAGAAGCAGACCUAGCAUUCCUCAACAUUUGUCCAAAUACUUGUUCCCUCACUGACUUACAGUAUCAGCAAUGGAAUUUCAGUAGCAUGGAAGUGUCCACGCCGGAACACGAUGUUUGUGUUGUCCAGUAUUUACUAAGUACUUCUCACUUUCUCUUGGAUUCCACCCAGAACCUUGCAGUCCAUCUCUCAUGGGGGCAAGCGAUGAACAUUUCCCCUUAUUCGGUUAGUUUGUUUUUGUCUCUGAAACAAUGUAUAUCCAUAUGCUAAUGAAAGUUUACUACUACACAAAUUCACUCAUAAAUCAAUGCUGUUAAGAA